GAUGAACGCUAGCUACAGGCUUAACACAUGCAAGUUGAGGGGCAGCAGGGAUUUAGCUUGCUAAAUCCGCUGGCGACCGGCGCACGGGUGCGUAACGCGUAUCCAACCUUCCCGUUACUCUGGGAUAGCCUUCCGAAAGGGAGAUUAAUACCGGAUGGUGUUCAAUUGGUGCAUAUUAUUUGAACUAAAGAUUUAUCGGUAACGGAUGGGGAUGCGUACCAUUAGAUAGUAGGCGGGGUAACGGCCCACCUAGUCUACGAUGGUUAGGGGUUCUGAGAGGAAGGUCCCCCACACUGGAACUGAGACACGGUCCAGACUCCUACGGGAGGCAGCAGUGAGGAAUAUUGGUCAAUGGAGGCAACUCUGAACCAGCCAAGUAGCGUGAGGGAUGACUGCCCUACGGGUUGUAAACCUCUUUUGUCGGGGAAUAAACCGCGCCACGUGUGGCGCCCUGCAUGUACCUUACGAAUAAGCAUCGGCUAAUUCCGUG
RNAcentral lists this ribosomal RNA (490 nucleotides) under uncultured bacterium. RNAcentral describes it as "bacterial SSU rRNA". It matches the Rfam family "Bacterial small subunit ribosomal RNA", at positions 28 to 507 of the family's 1533-position model. The record is from RNAcentral.